UCCCCGUUAUCCUGGGCAGUCCUUCCAGAGUUCCCGGCAUGACCCGUUGGCAACUGGAAGCAGGGGUUGCGCUCGUUGCGGGACCUAACCCAACACCUCACGGCACGAGCUGACGACAGCCAUGCAGCACCUGAGCAGGAUGGUAUUGCUACCUCGUUGGGCUUUCACCCUUCUACUACCUGCAUGUCCAGCCUGGGUAAGGUUCUUCGCGUUGCGUCGAAUUAAACCACAUGCUCCACCGCUUGUGCGGGCCCCCGUCAAUUCCUUUGAGUUUCAACCUUGCGGCCGUGCUUCCCAGGCGGAAUACUUAAUGCGUUAGCUGCGGCACCGGCGGUAACCCGCCGACACCGCCCACACCUAGUUCCCAUCGUUUACGGCGUGGACUAC
This 387-nucleotide unclassified non-coding RNA is filed under the name uncultured Nitrospiraceae bacterium. RNAcentral describes it as "contains 16S-23S intergenic spacer region". Lineage: Bacteria; Pseudomonadati; Nitrospirota; Nitrospiria; Nitrospirales; Nitrospiraceae. The record is from RNAcentral.